UUGGUAAGGUAACGGCUUACCAAGGCAACGAUGCAUAGCCGACCUGAGAGGGUGAUCGGCCACACUGGAACUGAGACACGGUCCAGACUCCUACGGGAGGCAGCAGUAGGGAAUCUUCCGCAAUGGGCGAAAGCCUGACGGAGCAACGCCGCGUGAGUGAUGAAGGUCUUCGGAUCGUAAAACUCUGUUAUUAGGGAAGAACAUAUGUGUAAGUAACUGUGCACAUCUUGACGGUACCUAAUCAGAAAGCCACGGCUAACUACGUGCCAGCAGCCGCGGUAAUACGUAGGUGGCAAGCGUUAUCCGGAAUUAUUGGGCGUAAAGCGCGCGUAGGCGGUUUUUUAAGUCUGAUGUGAAAGCCCACGGCUCAACCGUGGAGGGUCAUUGGAAACUGGAAAACUUGAGUGCAGAAGAGGAAAGUGGAAUUCCAUGUGUAGCGGUGAAAUGCGCAGAGAUAUGGAGGAACACCAGUGGCGAAGGCGACUUUCUGGUC
RNAcentral lists this ribosomal RNA (493 nucleotides) under Staphylococcus aureus. RNAcentral's name for it is "bacterial SSU rRNA". It matches the Rfam family "Bacterial small subunit ribosomal RNA", at positions 249 to 734 of the family's 1533-position model. The record is from RNAcentral. Lineage: Bacteria; Bacillati; Bacillota; Bacilli; Caryophanales; Staphylococcaceae.